Long non-coding RNA from Solea solea (common sole), 537 nucleotides. RefSeq lists it as uncharacterized. Lineage: Eukaryota; Metazoa; Chordata; Actinopteri; Pleuronectiformes; Soleidae. The transcript is spliced from 4 exons. The record is from RefSeq and is a predicted model, not a curated record.
ACGUGUCAGCAGUGUUAACAGUGUUAGCAUUGUUUGUUUGUCACAGAGUGGGAAAGGUUCGCCGGAGGUCCCGCCAAACAGUUUGUGCGUUUACUGUGCGUCACUGACGACUCAUUUUAAACUGGAGUAACUUUAUCAACAGCCCUGCAAACUGUUGCCACAAGUGGGCGACUGUAUGUCCAGAGGACACAAAAUGAUGGAAGCAGUAACUGUCACCCGAUGUUAGGUGGUCACGUGCCUUAUCAGACGGGAUCCUUCUGUCAGAUUGGACGGGUUGACCGCGCCUCCUGCUGUCCGGUUGCUCCCCCAGGAUGGCCCUCCAGUGGUUAAAGGUCUGAACUGCAGCAGCGAGGACGUCACACACACGACUCAGUCUUUCACCAGGAGAAGCAGCUCACUGGUACGUGUCGUCACAGAAACACACGUGGCUUCAAAAACACUUUGAAAGAAAAGGAAAAAACAAAUGACUCCUCAUUUGGUGUUACAAGAACAUGAUUAAAUUUACUCUAAACCGUAUUAGUAGCCUGUAAAAAAAAA